RNAcentral lists this long non-coding RNA (6835 nucleotides) under Sus scrofa (pig). RNAcentral's name for it is "lncRNA (ENSSSCG00000039704.3)". The record is from RNAcentral. Lineage: Eukaryota; Metazoa; Chordata; Mammalia; Artiodactyla; Suidae.
GCAGCUGGGGGGUGGAUUUGGGACAAAGUCUGCACCCACAACCCUGAACCUCUGGAUCCUGUGCAAAGGCAAGGUGUGUGGAAUAAACACCUGCUGUGCACCCAGCUGGACUCUACAGCACCUACUGUGUAUUCACACUCCUGCAGGAACCCGUGUUCUUAAAGAUGAAUAAUGCUCCGCCCCCCAUGCUGGGUCUUCUGGGGAUGAGCCACAGCCUGGAGGAGCUGAGGAGGCCACAUCACAUGAGGAAGCUUUACUGUUUCCCCUUCUCCUGAAAUGUGUCUGGGAUGGAGAGUGUGGAGAGUGGGCCCACCUUUAUCUGGGUCCACUCAGGCUGCUGCAGAGACUACCCCAGACUGGGUGGCUGAUAGACAAGACAUUCAUUUUCCACACUUCCUGAGACUGAGAAGUCUGAGAUGAAGAAACCUAGAAGCAAGGAAGCUGCCACCAUGAUGCAGCGGGGAGUCCGAGGCCCUGGGAGGUCAUAUGACUCAUUCAAGGUCAUCCUGCUGUGGCAGAGAUGCGAUGAAGCCCUGGCUUUGACCCCAACCCCAGGUGCCAGAGUCUUCCCUGCCCUGUACAGCCCUGCUCAUGCCAUGGUCUCCUGUGGACGUUCCCUCCUUCCCACGUUGGCGGUAUUGCUGUCCAAGCUUUGCAGGGGAGGAAUCUGAGGAAUUGAGAAGUCAAGUAACACACCCAAUAGGAUAACUAGGCCUUCUUGGCAGCCAACCUCGAAGCACCACAUCGGGCUUUGAAAUGUGCGGGGCCUUUGAGAUUCAGCGCAUCUGAAUCUGAAUUUAUGCCGUCUCACUUGCUGGAAUCUACUGAUCUGUCCACUGUUCCUGGAAGAAAUACUUUGUUUUCAUGUGCCAGUUGCCUUUCCAGCCUGACUGUCAGCCCAAGGUCGCAGAGAAGAUCUGAUUGCAUGUCCUUGAUUUUGCUGCUCCCAUUCCGAGAACCAGCUUCCUCCUCUGGAAGGUCGACUGAGGGGGGCUUGACUGGACUUGGCUCAAGGCUGCAAGUGGUCCAGGUCUGCUCUGUGUGUCUUUCAUCCUCCCCAACCAGUUAGAAAACGUGAUAUCCUCUUCUACGAUGAUGAUGGAAAUACAAAAUUGAUGAAAAAUGGAGUGAAUGAGACAUUAAGCCAGUUGUGCACCAUUACCCAGCUCGCAGCCCCAUCUCCUGAGGCCAGUUGCCUAGUGGAUGCUGGAGGCAGCAUUUGGACUCAGGCAGUCGAAUCCCAGAGCCCGAAUCCUGCCGUUCUCACUGUCAUCCUGGAGCUCCAGAGCCUGUGGUCACUCAGCUGGCAACCUCACAGGCAGGCCAGCCCCUCCCCAAGCUCAUUUUCCUUAUGGCCUUGCACUGACCUCAACUUUCUUGGACAUCAAAUGGACCCACUGGGCCGCUCCAGGUGUUUCCUUGCCUCCUCUUCUGAAAAUUCGGGACUGCCAUACAGACACCUCCCGGCUCUUCUGUGUGGUCAGGCGUGGGAGAGAGCGUUUGGAAGAGAAUCGAAUUUCCUUUCUGCAUCUGUGUGCUGGUGCCCAGUGCACCCUGGGACGCUAACGAACAGUGACAGAUGAGCUUCAAUUGGCUGGCGCGUGUGAGGAACCACUGGACCAGGCAAAAGAAAGCAUCAUCGGAGCCCAGCAAGGGAGGAGGAGAGAGGCUUUGCUUCAUGAAAGCCUGAACAGCAUCCAACCGAAACCAGCCGCCGCCGCCGCGCCCUGACGUGGUACUCUGCAGUUUUCAGAGUGCAUCGCAUCCAUUAUCUCCCCUGACCCGCAGACAGGCCGGCGAAGAAGGCUGAUAUGAGGUCACCCAGCCCCGUGCGUGCAGCCCCUCAAAUGCCUCCUGCGUUCCACCCCUUCUUCUCCAUUGCAUGGCCACUGCCCUUUCAAUUUCUCCCGGGAUUGUUGCAAUAGCGUCUCACUGUCUCCUGCUCCCAGCCCGCACCCUCCUGUGCCCCCUUGCUGAGUAAUCUUUUUGCACCGAAAAUUUGUUCAGCCUACAGAUGGUGUCACAGCCUCCAGUGGCCCCACCAGCUAUAGACUAAAGUCCCAACUCCCAUGUGUUCAAGGACAGCUACCCCUCUCUACAAGCCCCUUUCCUUGCAGUUUCCCUUGGAGGUGAUGAUGAGCUUUCUGAAUACACCAACCUCUUCUGGGGCCAUACCUCUUCUCAUGCCAUGAGCCUAGGCUGGACCUCUGGUCUCUUCCGUCUUGCUGACCAACCCUUAGGCUUCUUUAAGACCCAGUUCAGCAUCACUGACUUCAGGGGUCCCCUGCCCACCUGGCUGCCCAUGUUCCCAUGGAGCUUGUACCCAAGGCUGUUGUAUUCCUUACCAGCUAAUUGUCCCCUUGGUCCUUCCUGCACCCAUUCCCUCUUGUACUGCACUGGGAACUUGUCAAGCUGAGAGAUAGUGCUCCUCACUGCCAGAUCCUCUCCACCCAGUGUGGUUCAGGCACCUAGUAGCUGCUCAGCUGGCAUUGAUGAAAUUGAGUUUAUAGGUGAGGGCACCGAGGCUCAGAGCAGUUAAGGCUGGGGAGACGCCCAGCUGGUAUCCUUCUCCUGUCACUACCCCUCCCUGCCUCCCUGUUUGCUCUGGGGUCUCAGCAUCAUCCACAACCCACAUACCACUGUUCAGUUACCAAAGAUACCCCUGACUUGUCUCUGCCCAACCCUUCCUUCCUCAUCUUUUCUCCAUCAGCUUCACAACCUUGGACCAGCAAGGCCAUUGCAAUACAAGCCGAGGUUGGGAAGAGUGAGGCUCAGAGACCACAGAGAUACUUUGACACAUGGAAAAAGGCAAGACUUCCUUCCCAGGAGAUUUAUCAUUCUUCAAAAAAAUGGGGUUCUCAAAGAUUCAAGGUAUUUGCUAUUCAUGCUAUUCAUGCAAACACGCUUGCACCUUGGUGUUUUAUGGUAAGGAUUCUGGGAACCAUAGGGAAGACCAGAAUCUCCAUUCCUGACACCCGUGUACUGGAAGCCACUCCCCUCGCCUCUCCCAAAUUAAAUCCACUUGGAGCCUCAGAAUGGGACAUUUCUUGGAAUAAGGAUCUCAGUAGACAUAAUUAGAGUAAGGGAGAGAUGACCUCAUCCUGGAGGAGGGUGGACCCUUAGUCCAAUGACAAGUGUCCUUAUGGGAGACAGUAAGGAGAAGACACAUAGACACAGGGGAGAAGGUCCUGUGAAGACAAAGGCAGAAGCUGCAAUGAUGGGUUUACAAGCCAAGGAAUGCCAGGGGUUUCUGGCAUCACAGAAUCUAGGAGAGUAUCUGGAAUGGACUUUUUUUUUUUCCCCAAGGUCAUUGCUUACUUUUAUUUAUUUAGUGAUUUUUAUUUUUUUCCAUUACAGUUGGUUUUCAGUGGUCUGUCAAUUCUCUACUAUACAGCAAAGUGACCCAGUCACACAUACAUAUAUACAUUUUUUAUCACAUUAUCUUCUAUCAUGUUCCAUCACAAGUGAGUAUAUAUAGUUCCUAGUGCUAUACAGCAGGAUCUCAUUGCUUAUCCAUUCCAAAGGCAAUAAUUUGCAUCUGGAAUGGACUUUCAGAGCUUCCAGAAGGAACCAAUCCUGCCAACACCCUGAUUUCAGACAUCUGGCCUCUAGAACUGUUGAGAACUGUUACUUCAAGCCACCCAAUUGUGGUCAUUUGUCACCUAGGCACCUCUAGUAAGUGAAUGAAAUGGAGCAGUAUAAAAAUACAAGGGAAGCCCAGCAGGGCCAUCGGGACCAGGAAGUCGGGGGUCCUCACCCCUCGCCAUCACGUGUGGGUACCCUCUGCUUCUCUUCCUGGCACCUCUCAGCUCCUCUAUCACUCUGCUCUUCCAGCUGCCACCAGCCCGCCACAUUGCCCCUCCAGAGGUCCUCCCUUUGCUUAAGGCUCUGCUGCUGAGCUGUCCUGUGUCUAUCAGUCUGGGGUCUUUCCAUGUCUGUUACAUAUGCUAACCUGCCAACUCUCUCAUUAUAUUAAAAAUGUCCAAGAGAGGUGAGCUGAUGGUUGAGCUCACCACCAUCACCCCCCAAAGGGCAAAGCUUUCACCCCAGGCCAGCUCACAGGCAGCAGACCUUGGCCCUGAUCCUCCAGGCAUGGCCAGGGAGGUGGGCCAGGCAUUCCCAUCAGCACAGGGGGCCCUGGAAGGGCAGGACAGAUGCCUGGAAACAGUCCCAGGUUGGUGGCCCCUUCACUGCUGAGACUAAACUUCCUGCAGAAUUGAAGAAUAGGCAGUAGGAAGGCGAAAGGGAAGAAGCACUUUUUUUUUUUUUUCCAAUAGAAGAAGGAAAGUGUCAUCAAUAGAAGCUGUUGAAAAGUCCAAAUUGCAACCUUCUUGCCUCCUUUUGAUGAGCUGCCUUGAUGAGCUGUUUAGAAGAGCUCAUUGCUCUGGGUCAGCGUGACAGCUGUUGAUGACAAGGGGUAGGCGGGGAGAGGUUAGGCAGGAGGAAUAUGCGGCCAGGGCCUUGGCCAUGAUGGAUAUGCACCAAGCCUGUGCACCCCAGGUCUUUGCAAAGGGUCCAUGACAAACAGCCCAUGGUGCAUUGGGCUGUUUUACUGUAAUUCACUCCCCAAAUGCUUCUGGUGUGCAGCCCUGUGCUGAAGACACUGCCCAGACAUCCUCUCAUUUACUUUCUCCCAAGCUCCAGAGAGUGGAUGUCAGGUUGAGCUUAUGUAGUUCAGGGAUUGCAGAUGUGAACACCCAAAGUCCCAGGACCAGUACGUGAUGGAGUCAGGAUUCAAACUUAGGUCAGAGGAGGCUAGAGACAUGGCUGAGCACAGUGUAUGGUCCUUGGGGGCAUGAAGGAGAGCUAUAAAGGAUGUUAUGAGGAAUCCAGAUCAGAUAAUAGUUUUCUAUGGAGGUUAAAUUUCCCGAGUUUAAUAACUAUACUAUGAAAAUGUAGGAGAAGUUUAAGACUAAUAGGAACAAUGUCCCCAGUGUACUCUUAAAUAGAUGAGGGAGGGGAUGCGUGGAGGGAGAGAGGGAGAGAAUGAGAAAGGGAGAAUAAUAAAGUGAAUGAGACAAAAUGUGGUGAACUAUGGGUUGAUUUGCAUCUCCUAGAAUUUUAUAUAAACGUUAUUAUGUUGAAUGUACUCCUUUUUGCUGGCUUCUCUUGUACAUAAUUUCUUUGAGAGCCAUCCAUGUUGUAGCAGGCAUCCAAAUUCAUUCCUUUUCAUAGCUAAGUAGUAUUUCAUCUAACGGAUAAACCAGUUAGUCUAUUCAUUCCCCUGCUGUUGGACACUGGUUGUUUUCAGUUUUGGGCAGUCAGGAAUCAAGCAGCCAUGAUUUGUGUCCCAGUUCUUUGGGUGGGCAUUGCUUUUGUUUCAACAGAAUGCCUAGAUCAUAUAUAUGGUAGGUGUGUGUUAACUGUUUAAGAAAUUGCCCAACUAUUUUCCAAAGCAGCUGUACCCCCCAGUAGUGCACGAGGCUUCCUGUUUCUCCACAUUCUUUCCUUGGUAUGGACUGACUUGGUAUUGCUGGUCUUUUCCAUUAGAGCCCUUCCAGUGGACCUGUAGUGAUGUCUCCUUGUGGUUUUCACUUGCAUUUUCCUAGUGACCAGUGGUGUUGCUCUUAUCCCCCUGCCAUUCCCUCUCCUGCUUUUCUGGGGGCACUGCGACCUUCUGGGGCAAGACCUCAGGGACUUGCCCCUACAGCCCAGAGGUGAACAGUCACGUCCCGAACAGAAAGCAUGCAAGUGGAUGGGCCCAGGAUGAAGACUGGAGGGCCACAUAAGAGCCUGGGGUGCUUUCAGGCCAAGGUAUUUGUCCCAUGGCUCUGACGAGCAGAACCCACCCUUCAGAUGGGGCACCCACCUGCUCAGCAGCCCAUGCUCGAGCUUUUCCACAGGCAGUCAGUACACAGGAUACUUCAGGUCCUAACCCUCAGACGUGAUGUGUUUGCUCAACAACCCUUAAGUUCCUCCCCUGUGUUCAGUUCUGUGACCAGUAUAAGCCUUUGAUGGGUUUUGGUUAUUGGCAAUUAUCAGAGUAAAGUGAAAACUCUCAAGGAUAAUCUGCAAGGCCUUUCUUGAUCAAGUUCCUAAAUUUGGUCUUUCCUACCACAUCCUUCCACAUCCCUCCAGCCUACGCUCCACAUCUAACAAACACCCCAGUGUCCCAGACUUGCCAGCUCCUUCCUGCCUCCCUGCCUUAACCUUCCCUCCUGCUUCUCCCUCCCUUGGCCAGUGGAGACCUUCUCAGCCUGUCACAGCACCAAGCGUCCCUUGUGCCUCUCCUCAACCUCAAAGGAUGGUUUUUUCAGGACCAGCAUGGUCUCAACUGGAUCCAUGUACAGUUUAUGCGGGUCACGGGGAGUGGGGAGGGGCCUGUGAGCCGAAAGGCUGGAUGCUGUUACACACCCACUGCAGCACACAGAGGUUCCUCGUCAGCUGGGCCCGGCUGAAUUGAGUGCAUUUCUGCACCAUGCCUUCCCCCCCCUGAUCGUGGGGACUGGGAUGACUCCCCACCGCCACCACUCCCACAUGUGGCUCACAAGUCACUCCAAUUGCCGGAGGUGGCACCCGCCAUGUUCUGAAAAGCUAAGUGCCUUCGCCCCCUUCGCCACCCUUACCUGGAACAGCCAUUUUUGUUGUGUGAACACAUGGCCCGGGAACUUAAACACUAAAACCAGUUAGUUCCUCAGGGGGCGUCAUCUUAACCAUGCCAAACUCAACAAGAUAUAAACUGGUCCUAGAAGCCUUCUCUUCCUCCUUCCUUCAUUUUUUUUUUUUUUCUUUUUCUUGUUCCAGCAGCACUUAUCCAUCUGUGCUUCCACCACAGAGCUAUUCCCACUAGAAAUGCCGUGAAACCUUUCAAAUAAAAUAUUUAACGUGUGGAUCC